AGAAAGGGAAAACAUUUGUUCUCCAAUUAAAAGCAAAAUAUAUUUGGAAAUAUUGGUCAAAUUUUACACUUUAAAAAUUUGCCUAGGGUUUUUCUGUCAUCACCUUAUCUCAUUUGAGUGAUGAUUAGAAAUUUUUGUAGAGUCUAAUUCCAGUAAUAAUCAUUUCUCUUUGUCACUGGAGAGUCUUUCCCUCCUCAACACACAUCACAAACAUUUCUUGAUUAAACCUUCCAACAAUUCUUGGAAGGAAAUUGGGUGAUAUUUUCCGUGACUGCAUGGUCUCUGAGGAGACUAUCUAUUGGGAUAAACCAAUUACAAGGACAGGGUUGGAACCAGAUACCAACCAACCUUAUAUAAGCAGUCUCUUUCAGAUUCUACCACUGAAAUGGAUGUUCUCAAACUUCCUCAGUAUUUGGAUCAUUUUUCUCAUAUAUAAAUUUAUAAGAUAAAGCACAAUUGGCGCUGCCUGGGUUACGUGACAGCUCUUGGACGAGGGAGCAGAGAACAUCUUGAUUAAAGUCCCUACAAGGCUGUAUUCAAUGGAAGAGAUUUAAUUAUUGUGGUUGGCAUAAUAUGGUCCUUCAAACAAACCUGGACUACAGAUCAAAGCAGCUAAAAGUGUAAAUUCCACCCAAUUAACGAGACUAGUGUCUGAAAUACUUCAUACGGAUGACCAACUUCACUCGCUUUUUAAGUUAUUUGGGAUAACCUUGGUGGAGUUUUCUCCUCCGCAUCCUGAGAGACAGCUAUUCUCUGAAAUGAAUAACUCUGCAUUUGAAAGAGGUUUUUGAGAGAAGCUGGGCACUAAAACAGAUUAAGAUGAACCGAAGACACAGAAAACCAUUAUGUUCACAGAAUAAACAGUUUUAGUCAUUUAAUGUUGUAAAAAAUGUAUUCGUCUGUGACGUGCUGCUUUCACCACUAAAAGGUCUCCUGUUAAAUAUGCGCAUGUCUCCACAUUGGGCCACUGAUACCCACAGGACA
RNAcentral lists this long non-coding RNA (984 nucleotides) under Homo sapiens (human). RNAcentral's name for it is "HSALNT0097323". The record is from RNAcentral. Lineage: Eukaryota; Metazoa; Chordata; Mammalia; Primates; Hominidae.